This 154-nucleotide long non-coding RNA is filed under the name Eurytemora carolleeae. Its description in RNAcentral is "uncharacterized LOC111716867". Lineage: Eukaryota; Metazoa; Arthropoda; Copepoda; Calanoida; Temoridae. The record is from RNAcentral.
AGUGCUAAACCUCAGGGCGAUUCCUGUGGUGGACCUUUUGGAAUAGCUGGCAGUUGUGCAUCUGGCCUUCGUUGCCUCAGAUCGUGUGGGUGCACUACAGUUUCCAACAAAGAGUGUAUAUUCCCGUUCUCGUACCGGGGCGCCACCUACUCCA